Molecule: long non-coding RNA, 606 nt
Filed under: Ficedula albicollis (Collared flycatcher)
Lineage: Eukaryota; Metazoa; Chordata; Aves; Passeriformes; Muscicapidae
Description: lncRNA (ENSFALG00000026591.1)
Source: RNAcentral
CAGGAACUGGCACUGCAAGAUGAAGCAUGGCUGUCUGAAGACCUGGCAUCUGUGCUGACUCUCAUAGGUACCACACUGGAAGAAUUGGAGAAGAAAACCCAGUGGCAGAGGAGAAAGAAACACCCCUGGCACCACCUUAUACAAGAGGAACAUGGAAGACCUGGGUUUCAAAGAAGCCCUCUGCUGCUUGUGGGAUUCAGGAGCAAAGUACAUUAUUCAACUGGAAAAUGUGACAACCUAAUCAUCCUGAAGGUGGAUGAUUCCUGUGAAUGUGAGCAGGAUUUGGCUCUGGUUAUGGACAAGUGAAGAGGACACCAAAGCAUAAAAUGGAAGCUUAGAAUGACAGAGGAGCUCCUAACCCUGGGGAGCCCAUUUAAGCCAGCCAGCAUGGUUCAGACAAAGCACUAAGAGGGGACACGGUCCCUUUCUGAAAAGAAAGAAAGGAAAUUUCCCCUAAAAGAAAAAUCCAUAAUCAGGAUGACCAUCAAUAGAGAAGAUUCCCUGUUGGUGAGGUACCUUCUUUCGACUGAGAAAAUUCCCCACAUUUGUUGAUUCUGAUCCAGCUGGCCUGACUUGGAUUUGUAACCACCAGAUGCAUUGCAAGCA